AACACGUCUGCUCCAUCGGCCAUCGGUUC
RNAcentral lists this small RNA (29 nucleotides) under Bombyx mori (domestic silkworm). RNAcentral's name for it is "ovarian small RNA-10222". The record is from RNAcentral. Lineage: Eukaryota; Metazoa; Arthropoda; Insecta; Lepidoptera; Bombycidae.